Molecule: transfer RNA, 97 nt
Rfam family: tRNA
About the family: Transfer RNA (tRNA) molecules are approximately 80 nucleotides in length.
Source: Rfam
GGCUACGUGGUAUAACGGUCAUUAUUGCUGCCUUCCAAAUCGUGCAACUGCACAAUGCCGUUAGCAGCAGACGCGGGUUCGACUCCCGCCGUAGUCA